AUACGUAGGGUGCGAGCGUUGUCCGGAAUUACUGGGCGUAAAGAGCUCGUAGGUGGUUUGUCGCGUCGUCUGUGAAAUUCCGGGGCUUAACUCCGGGCGUGCAGGCGAUACGGGCAUAACUUGAGUACUGUAGGGGAGACUGGAAUUCCUGGUGUAGCGGUGAAAUGCGCAGAUAUCAGGAGGAACACCGGUGGCGAAGGCGGGGCUCUGGGCAUUAACUGACGCUGAGGAGCGAAAGCAUGGGUAGCGAACAGGAUUAGAUACCCUGGUAGUCCAUGCCGUAAACGGUGGGCGCUAGGUGUAGGGGUCUUCCACGACUUCUGUGCCGUAGCUAAAGCAUUAAGCGCCCCGCCUGGGGAGUACGGCCGCAAGGCUAAAACUCAAAGGAAUUGACGGGG
Molecule: ribosomal RNA, 398 nt
Filed under: uncultured bacterium
Lineage: Bacteria
Description: partial 16S ribosomal RNA
Rfam family: Bacterial small subunit ribosomal RNA
Source: RNAcentral